CCUACGGGAGGCAGCAGUGAGGAAUAUUGGUCAAUGGACGAGAGUCUGAACCAGCCAAGUAGCGUGAAGGAUGACUGCCCUAUGGGUUGUAAACUUCUUUUAUAUGGGAAUAAAAUGUUCCACGUGUGGGAUUUUGUAUGUACCAUAUGAAUAAGGAUUGGCUAACUCCGUGCCAGCAGCCGCGGUAAUACGGAGGAUCCGAGCGUUAUCCGGAUUUAUUGGGUUUAAAGGGAGCGUAGGGGGAUUGUUAAGGUAGUUGGGAAAGUUUGCGGCUCAACCGUAAAAUUGCAGUUGAAACUGGCAGUCUUGAGUACAGUAGAGGUAGGCGGAAUUCGUGGUGUAGCGGUGAAAUGCUUAGAUAUCACGAAGAACUCCGAUUGCGAAGGCAGCUCACUGGACUGUAACUGACACUGAGGCUCGAAAGUGUGGGUAUCAAACAGGAUUAGAUACCCGAGUAGUC
Molecule: ribosomal RNA, 460 nt
Filed under: uncultured bacterium
Lineage: Bacteria
Description: partial 16S ribosomal RNA
Rfam family: Bacterial small subunit ribosomal RNA
Source: RNAcentral